UUUUUAGAACAUCAUUAUUGAUAAGAAAAAUCUUAUAAAUACUUUACCAACAAAAAAAUAUACAGUAUAUUUGAAUUAUAUAAGUAGAUUUUAAAAUGCGAAAAUGUAUAAGCCAAUAAAAAUAAAAACUAGUGUCUUGAGAGUUUUUCAAAACUUAAAAACAGUUAAAAACUGAGGUACAGGAGGGUAAAUAGAUAUUUAUUUAAUUUGUUCACUCAAUAGAUUCUUAUCUCUUACCAGCAUUUUAGAUUUGUGUAUACUGAGCUAAUUAACUCUUUUUUUACUUCCAAUCAAAGCAUCAAUAUUUGACUUGAUUUAAAUAAUUUUUUUCAUUUUUUUUUUUAAACACUAAAAUUAUAUUAUUAAGAUGAGAUACAUGGUGGAAUGCGGUUGUAAGAUACAAAGCCAGCAAGCAACGAGUACUUCUGGAAACUAGGCCAGCAAGCAACUGAGUGCUUCUGGAAAGUAAGCCCUAUCAAAGGGAAACAAGAUAGAAACAUAAGACAAGUAAAACUAAACACAGGGGAAUGAAACGACGUAACAAAUAUAAACGAGACAGAUGCAGUCCAAAUGAUGAAGUUCAAACCCAAUCGCAUAAAUCAACCUUACUCCUCCAGGCCUCUGACAAGAGUUACCAAAACUGUGUUGAUAACUUAACCCACCUAUAGUGAAUAAGCGUAGAAUAAUCAAGCACGGCUUCCAAACCGGAAGGAAAGAACCGAUAACGGUUCGAGAUCCAACUUCCGAACGGCGAAGUCGACAGAGAGCGACGGUGGAGCGCCUAAUGAGAAGCGAGUCAAAGAAGCGAGAUCACGACCAGAUCUCAUGGGAAAUGACAAGGAGCGGUUACGAUCUUGACCGAACAAACCAAUCUCAUGCGAACAAGAGUAGGAAGGAUCGAAUCCGGCAAGAUCCAAAGAAGCCACGGAGAACAAGGCCAUGCAGAUCAAGAUUAGAAACAAUCACCAUAAAGACAUCAUUGUUAAAUCUGAGAUCAAACGGUGAGCAUGCAAGGGAAAACUGAGUUGAACCACAGAUCUAGAACUAGAUUGAGACGACAAGAGAGGCAAAAGGACAAGCCACUCCAAUGAUCCAUAAGAUCCAGAACCUCUAGCCGCUUAACCAGACUAAAUCACAGCCAAAAGAAUUUUGACAGCAUCAAUAAAGCAUCACCGAAUGAUUUUGCGUCGAAACAAAAUCCCCUUACAUCACAAACAAACUAAACGAAAAGGACAUAAGAAAAAGAUACCGGCUCCGGUGCUAAGAGAGCCACCGGAGCCGAUGAACAAAGUCUACGAUCUGAGAUCAGAAGAUUCUAGAGAGAAGGGAGAGAAAAUAAAGAAGAGAGAAGUAUGUAAGGUAAAUAAUUUUUUUCAUUAUGUUCACUUUUGCCACGAAGAUAAAGGUGGAAAUCUUAUUGUCUUUGCUUGUAUAUGUAGAAAAGGUCUCUCAUGACUUUUACUUUUCUUAUUUGUCAGAGCUAUAUUUCAAUUUUUAUUUAUUCGAUGUAAGAAAGACGACAGGAUGCACUAGAGGGUCACAGGUUUUUGAUUAUGCUGACCACAAAACUGAAAAGAAUCUGUAAAUUUCUUUAUACAAAACCUGCCACUUGGAUUAACACAAUUACCCAAAGAAUAUUGGUCCGGUUUUGAUGGAAAAUAGAUGAAUAAAAAAUAAAAAAUGAAAAAUCGUGGAAGACUGUUAGGUGCAAAACCAGAGUUCGAAAGUCUCAAGACUCUCAACUUUAUUCUCCUCGGAGCAUGGCCCAAAAACUCCACGACAAAUAAUACUGUUAUUUUAGGUUGCCAAAUUAUUUUAGUCGUGAUUCACAAGAACAAUCUAACACGAAAUAAAAUAAUAGAAUCUUACUUUUUUCUGUUUAUAUUUUGUUUGAAAAUGAUACAUUAGUCAAAAGAAACGUUCUUAUAAUUUCAACUAAUCGGCCUUAAGCUAGGUCCUGAUCACUCAACUUAGACGAAAGUGGUUUUCUUUAACUUUCUUCGAACCAGGCCUAAUGGGCUUUUAAAAAAAAUAUCUAGCAAUCUAACUUCUGGCCCGUUUACGCAUUCACUUCGUCUCCUCCUUCAUCGACUCUUUUAUCUCUCAACUCUCAAGCUCUGAGAUCUCAGAUUCGUCGCCGUUCAUCGUCUCCGUUGCAUAAUCGAGUAAAUGGAUCAAGAGGCAGCUGAAACUGCAAGAGAGUCAUUGGAGCUUGUGUUUCGGAUGUCGAACAUCUUGGACACUGGUCUCGAUCGACAUACCUUGUCUGUUCUAAUAGCUCUCUGUGAUCUUGGUCUUAACCCUGAGGCUCUAGCUGCUGUUGUCAAGGAGCUUCGGCACGAAUCUGGCAACAACUUUGGCAGAAGCUUAAGAUAAUAAUAAUUCAAAUCCUUUGGAAGAUGGAUCAAUACUAAAACAUCUGCGAUUGUUUUCUUUUUUUCUGUAUGUUUUAACUAUCGAGUGGUUCUUGAAAUAUAUAGCCUUAUCGAGUGUU
RNA transcript from Brassica napus (rape), 2494 nucleotides. RefSeq lists it as uncharacterized. The record is from RefSeq and is a predicted model, not a curated record. NCBI's taxonomy places the organism in Eukaryota, Viridiplantae, Streptophyta, Magnoliopsida, Brassicales, Brassicaceae. The transcript is spliced from 2 exons.